Molecule: ribosomal RNA, 510 nt
Filed under: uncultured bacterium
Lineage: Bacteria
Description: partial 16S ribosomal RNA
Rfam family: Bacterial small subunit ribosomal RNA
Source: RNAcentral
GACGAACGCUGGCGGCGUGCUUAACACAUGCAAGUCGAACGAAGAGCGAUGGAAGCUUGCUUCUAUCAAUCUUAGUGGCGAACGGGUGAGUAACGCGUAAUCAACCUGCCCUUCAGAGGGGGACAACAGUUGGAAACGACUGCUAAUACCGCAUACGAUCUAAUCUCGGCAUCGAGGAUAGAUGAAAGGUGGCCUCUACAUGUAAGCUAUCACUGAAGGAGGGGAUUGCGUCUGAUUAGCUAGUUGGAGGGGUAACGGCCCACCAAGGCGAUGAUCAGUAGCCGGUCUGAGAGGAUGAACGGCCACAUUGGGACUGAGACACGGCCCAGACUCCUACGGGAGGCAGCAGUGGGGAAUCUUCCGCAAUGGACGAAAGUCUGACGGAGCAACGCCGCGUGAGCGAUGACGGCCUUCGGGUUGGAAAGCUCUGUUAAUCGGGACGAAAGGCCUUCUUGCGAAUAGUGAGAAGGAUUGACGGUACCGGAAUAGAAAGCCACGGCUAACUACGUG